Molecule: ribosomal RNA, 654 nt
Filed under: uncultured Bacteroidales bacterium
Lineage: Bacteria; Pseudomonadati; Bacteroidota; Bacteroidia; Bacteroidales
Description: bacterial SSU rRNA
Rfam family: Bacterial small subunit ribosomal RNA
Source: RNAcentral
CAGCAUAAUGGAUAGCAUAUCUAUGGUGGCGACCGGCGCACGGGUGCGUAACGCGUAUGCAACCUACCUUUAACAGGGGGAUAACACUGAGAAAUUGGUACUAAUACCCCAUAAUAUCAUAGAAGGCAUCUUUUAUGGUUGAAAAUUCCGAUGGUUAGAGAUGGGCAUGCGUUGUAUUAGCUAGUUGGUGGGGUAACGGCUCACCAAGGCGACGAUACAUAGGGGGACUGAGAGGUUAACCCCCCACACUGGUACUGAGACACGGACCAGACUCCUACGGGAGGCAGCAGUGAGGAAUAUUGGUCAAUGGACGCAAGUCUGAACCAGCCAUGCCGCGUGCAGGAUGACGGCUCUAUGAGUUGUAAACUGCUUUUGUACGAGGGUAAACGCAGAUACGUGUAUCUGUCUGAAAGUAUCGUACGAAUAAGGAUCGGCUAACUCCGUGCCAGCAGCCGCGGUAAUACGGAGGAUUCAAGCGUUAUCCGGAUUUAUUGGGUUUAAAGGGUGCGUAGGCGGUUUGAUAAGUUAGAGGUGAAAUUUCGGGGCUCAACCCUGAACGUGCCUCUAAUACUGUUGAGCUAGAGAGUAGUUGCGGUAGGCGGAAUGUAUGGUGUAGCGGUGAAAUGCUUAGAGAUCAUACAGAACACCGAUUGC